RNAcentral lists this ribosomal RNA (75 nucleotides) under Erinaceus europaeus (western European hedgehog). The record is from RNAcentral. Lineage: Eukaryota; Metazoa; Chordata; Mammalia; Eulipotyphla; Erinaceidae.
GUCUAUGGCCAUACCACCCUGAACACGCCUAAUCUCGUCUGAUCUCAGAAGCUAAGAAUAGGAAAGCUAUGGGAG